UGUAGCACGAACUUCUGCCGCGCAGCAAACAUUAUCCUGUGUGCAGGAGCCAUAUGCGUGGAACGGGCAGUCGGGAAUUCCGAGAAAAGUAUCACGCGUUCCGCCCAUCAAUGUUUAUCAGAAGUGAAUAUUUGAAGAUCACGAUGAAAUAUCCAGGAGCCAGGAUGGCAGUAUCAGUGUCAAUAGGGCAACUGAAAAGAACAGACCGUCAGUGUCAGUGCUAGUGUCAGUUUCGGUGAUAAUGCAAGGGCUUACUUCGGGAUUAAAGCCUCAAGUUAUAGAAUAUUUGGAGUGCUACGACGAAGCUGUCAGGACAUAGAAUCAGUGUCAGUGAUAGUACAAGGACUAAUUUUAAAGUUAAAGUCCCUAGUGAAUAUUUGAAGUGCAACGAUAAAGCAGCCAAAAAUCAGGAUGGUAAUAUUAGUGUCAGUGAUAGUUUCAGUGAUAGUGUAAACAUCCACUUCAAGAUUAAAACCCUAAAUAAAUAUUUGAAAUGCUACGACAAGCAUCCAGGAUGGCAGUAUCAGUGUCAGUGUCAGUGUCAAUUGAAGGAGCAAUAUUAAGCCUCAAGAAAAUAUAAGAAGUGCCACAAUAAAGCAGCCAGAAGUUAGGAUGGCAAAUUUUGUGUCAGUGAUAGUGUCAGUGUAAGAGUCAAUAAAAGUCAAUAUCAGUGUAAUGCAACAAGUGAAUAAAUGGUGUGUCACAAUACUCGAUCAAGAAGUCAAGAGGAGGAUCUAUAAAAAAGUUGAUUGCUCGAGAACGCGUGAUCGGACGGAAAUACAGUUUGCGCCACAAUGACUUAUUUCAGCACGAGAAUAUUAUUAUGCGUUUCAAAUUUUUUUAUUGCUUACCUGCUGAAAUUCGAGCAAAGUGUGAGUAUUUUAUCUAUGUUUUAUUUAUGACUAAUAUUGAAAAUGUAUACGACUAAUUGUUAGAUAUUUUUAAGUGCAUGCUCUUAAUAUUAUUAGUAAGGCUGAUAUUCAUAUUCUGAUAUUAUAUCUUAGAUCUGACAUGGUUUGUAUGGCCUUCGACGACAAGAUUCUUGGUGUUCGUGUAAAAAGUGCUUGAGCCAACCUAUGUGACUGCCUUUCCAGUACGAAGGGAGAGGACCGUUUUCUUUAGAGAUUCUAAUACUCAAAUUAUAUCAAGUGUGAGUCAAAGCUGCAAAGGACAACAAAGCGAAAUGCAAUGCUGUUAGAGCGAUUGGAACAAUUUUAUAUCUAUGGUCGGACGGCCAUAUACUUUUCGACCCGGCAUUAGGAUUAGAUGCGUUCAUUAAUUGCGCAGGAAAUGACAUGAAAAACUGAUUCUCCAUCCAUGCGCCAGAGAAAGUCUGGUUGCAAUAAAUAAGUAUUCCUUGUUAGAUGAAUCUUAUAUUUAUUUAUGUUAAGUACGAUGGAAUGCUUGCCGAGUUGUAGAAUUAGUUUUGGGUCACAAUCCAGACUCGAUAUUGCCACCUUCUUGAAAUGUUCAAGUAUUUUCAGUGCUCAUUAAUUUGAUAUGUCACAGUAUUAAUUUCAAAGUCCGCACUAACGCCGCAUUGUCCUCAUGUAAUAAUUAUGGCGAAUAUACCAUGACAUUAUGGAGAAGCGUCAUAUCAAUUUUUGAAAUUGUUCAGCACGUUCCGAGCUAUGUAGAAUAUUCGCAUCAAGACGCGCUGAUUGAACGAAAGAAACCGAGUUGCAAGAUCUUUGGAUGGAAAUUAACGAUUAUGUGAAGGAAAUUUCUAAUCUCAUGAAAAAGUACCAGGAAACUGUGCUACCUGAAAAAAUAGGGGAUUUAAUUAAAGCAAGAAUACAAUUGGAGCAACAAUACUCUAGAAGAAUACCCUAAAUGUAAAAAAUUGUCAAAUUGUUCAAUCCUUGGCAUAUAUAUUUGAAAAAACUAAUCGCUAUGACAAUUUAGAUAUGACACCUACAAUAUAAGUUAAUAAAAAUUAAUAAAAAAAAAA
Long non-coding RNA from Odontomachus brunneus, 1951 nucleotides. RefSeq lists it as uncharacterized. The transcript is spliced from 8 exons. The record is from RefSeq and is a predicted model, not a curated record. NCBI's taxonomy places the organism in Eukaryota, Metazoa, Arthropoda, Insecta, Hymenoptera, Formicidae.